Molecule: long non-coding RNA, 325 nt
Organism: Sinocyclocheilus grahami
Lineage: Eukaryota; Metazoa; Chordata; Actinopteri; Cypriniformes; Cyprinidae
Exons: 3
Source: RefSeq, a predicted model, not a curated record
GGGAUUUGCUGGGAUAAAGGGAUUUGUAUGACCAUUUUAUGACUAAGGAAUUCAGAAUAAUGAAGGUUUAGUCCUCAUUUGUAAAAGUAAUCUAAAUAUAAACAUACCUUGCUUUUCAGACUGUCCAGGAGGUCUUGAACCUGCAUCCAAACCUGGUUAAAUUCUCUGGAUCCUGCGAUCCAGACAGUGCAACUCUCAUACUCACUGAGGACAACAUUACUCUGACUUUCAGCUUCUCUUUGAAUUCCACUUCAAACAAGUAUCAUCUUAGUGUGUUGGAGUUGUCAGCUGCAUUGCCUGAUAUGACUAAGCACAUUGUUUUCAG